Long non-coding RNA from Mus musculus (house mouse), 5021 nucleotides. RefSeq annotates it as predicted gene, 35778. The transcript is spliced from 3 exons. NCBI's taxonomy places the organism in Eukaryota, Metazoa, Chordata, Mammalia, Rodentia, Muridae. The record is from RefSeq and is a predicted model, not a curated record.
AACAAAACCAGUUAAUGUUUCCCGAGGUCUGGCGAACACCAGGCUUCAGAAAAGCUCUCUGAACCCACAAUCUCAUUUUGUGCUCACAAAACCCCAGGGGAGGGCUGUGAGUGGGCCCCCGUUGGAGCUUAGGGAACCAGGGCUUGAAGAAGUUCUGUGAUUUAUUUGCUCAAGGUCUAGUGGCUUGUGGCAGUGGAGGGAGGAGAUGGACACUUUGGUCUGGUUCCAGGUACAAUGCUCUUCAUAAACAAGUGGUUCUGAGUACCUUCUCCUUCUGAUGUCAUCAGCCGGGCUGUCUUCAGAAUGCUGAACAGGAGAAUGCAGAGAAGAGUGGUUCAAGGGGAAGACAGUCUGCAGAAGAGUUCUCAAGUUUAUUAUGGAAACACUGCGGCGAUGUGUGCAGUAACAUCAUCUUACAGGAGGGAACCAGUUCUGUUCAAAACAACUCACCAGGUUUUCUGAUAGUAACGAAGAACAAUGCGGGGCUGAGAUUUGAGAAGGCGAGAACCUGAAUGCAGACAAACCAUACAAUUAAAUUAAUGGUAUCCCUGAGAGAAACACAACAAGAGGGGAGGCCUUGGUACUUAUUUAAAAAUGUUCAUUAAGCUCCAAUGAUUGUUUGCUAUUCUCAUCUACAGUCAUGCUGAGUAAGCUACAGCUAAGUGCUUGUGGGCCAUAGAGAAAUCAAGGCGGAAAUGAGCUGGAAGCUUUCUUCUGGAUAGUUCUGAUAGUACCUGUAUUUUACAGCCUCUGGGGAAAAGAAGCCAUCAAUAGUCUUACUUAGUUGUGAAUCCCAUGAGAUGUGAAUAUGACCUGCCAACUAAGAUGUGCUUCCUGGUUCCAUGGUGACACGGCUACUAUUGGAGUGACCAACCACUUUUUCAUUGGAUUUUAGAGCUGCUUCAUUGGUGGGAAACCCCACUGGGUACUGUAAAUCUGGUCAGGUUGUUUUGCUAAAUGGUCAUGUUGUCAAACUACCUUCUAAAUACUCAUGUUUAUACCCAUGCAGCAUGAUGGAACGUUAGGGGGUCUAAUCUCCUGUAGGUCUAUUACGUGGUAUCAUAGUGCCUGAAAGUUCAAGAGGGCAGCAGUCAUGUCAUUCCUGGAGGAUUGUGUUCCACAACAGGGUCUCUCAUGUGGUUGUAGUCAGAUGGUGGCUGGGGCUUUUGUCAUUUGACUACACUUCUGAAUUGGAUAUUUGUGCUGGCUCCCUUAAAGAGCUGGUGACUCUUGGUUGUUGGUUGGGAAUUCAGCUGGGUCUGUGGUCAGUUGGAGCAUCUAGAUGUAGCUUGAGAUUCUUGUAGUGUGUGUUUGUGUGUGUGUGAGAGAGAGGGGGGGGGGAGAGAGAGAGAGGGAAAGAGAGAGUAUAAAUGAGUAUGAAUGAAUGAAAAUUCAUGAAUUAGUAUUUUAAGAGACUAAAGAGAGGGGCUGCAAGGUCUCUUAUCACCCAGCCCCAGAAGGCACAGUGACUCCUCUCACUGCUACACUGUUAGGCAGAUCUGGUCGGGAUCUGCUGCUAGGGCAGAAUGCUCAAUGGUGCUAAUAUUGGGAAGUGUGGUUCCCUAGCGCUAGAUGUCAAUUUCACUUCCAUGGAAAAGGCUGCUUCAUAAAAGGAAAAAGCUAGCUUGUUUCCUUGCUUUCCCUUGCUUUCCUAGAAUGAAACUCUUCGCAUGUGCAUUUAGGCUUUGUGAGGUCAAAGUGACUCAGCCUGUGUCUAGGACGUUCUGGAAAGAUACCUUACAAAUAACUUGUGUCUGUCCGUGGUAAGCAUGACACUACCUUAGCUAGAAGUGGGUGCAGUGAUAAUCUCAGCCCUUCCCUGGAGGCAUCUGUGGGAUGCUUGACUUCCGGCUCACUGUUGGAGAAACAUCUUUUGAGCAUAGUCUGGGGUCACUGAGUAGAGAGAGAUUCUUAGAAGAGAGUGCACAUGUUCUGAGGAACCACAGGCUGCAGUCGGGAACAUAACUGGGUGUGGGGUGUGUGGGAGUGACCUUACUCUUUUUCCUAAGUCUUAAUCCAAUGAUCCCCACAGAGAGAGCAGCUCUGGUUCUCAUAUUAUGACAUCUCCCCUUACUUCUGUAGCUAUUCCUGGCGCCUAUUUCAGUGUCUGUAUAUAUUGUGGUAUAACUGCGAGCUUCCCCCCCCCCCACACCCCAAUUCCUGAAUAGUGACUCGGAGGCUUAUUAUUUAUGAAUAAAUGCCUAGACCGUACACUAGGCUUGCUCCCCAACUAGCUCAUAACUUACAUUAACCCUUUUAUACUAUUCUAUGUCUACCACAGGACUACUUACUUCUCAGUUUCAUAUGUCCAACUUCCUCUGAGUCCGGGCAGGGAAUCUUCCCACCCUCUCCCCCCAUGCCCUUCACUAUUUCCCAGCACUCCUUGCUCUCUACCAGAUGUCCCACCUUUUACUCUACUCUUUCCUAUAGAUGAUAGGCUUUUUAUUGACAGGCCAUGCUUUCGCAUAGUACACUAUAGAGUAUCCCUACAGUGAGGCUCUUGAAAAAAAAAUAUAUUAUGCCAGUUUGACUGGGAAACCCAGAGACUGUGGAUUAAGAGUACAUGUGGGUUAUAAGAAACAAGAGGGCUGUUUGCUAAGGCAUGGGAGGAUUUGAGUCUGUAUUUCUUUAGGUUUACUCACUCAGAAAAUACGAGGUUCCUUCUAAGUGCCUGGCAUUGGUUCAGUCUCUAGAAAUAGACUGGUGAGCAAACACCUAAAGUUGCUGCCCCAGAGUGAGAGCCCCUUGAAGUCACCACUGUACAUCACCAGCAGGGGCUAGUGUAAACGGUGUCUAUGCAGAAUGAAGAUGACUGACAAAUAUGACUGCCCUUCUCCGCACAGAUGGGUUAGUAUAGUGCUUGCCCUUUAACUAAGUGUAUGGGCUAGAGACAUACCUUGGUGGGAAGAAUACUUCCUGUUCUCACAGAGGGUUGUGUUCCCAUGGCAGUCUAUAGUUGUCUUUUAAGUCUAUUUUCUAAAAACCUGGCACCCUUUUCUGGCCUCCACAUGCAAUGGGCCAGUGAGCAACAUGCUACAUUCAGCCAGGUAGUGGUGGCGAAUGCCUUUAAUCUCAUUGGGAGACAGAGGCAGGCUGAUUUUUGAGUUCUAGGCCAGCUGGUCUUCAGAAGGAGUUCCAGAAUAGCCAGGGUUACACAGAGAAACCCUGCCUCAAAACAAACAAAAACAAAUAAACAAAAAACUGGAAAACAGAAAACAAAACAAAAUAACCAACCAACCAACCAACCAACCAACCAACCAAAAAAAAAAAAAAACCCCAAAACAAAUCCCCAUUUAUCUCAUAUAAUUCUUCCAAAAGGAAGACUAAUAGGAUGACUAUGAGAUGUAUCUAAAACAUAGAAUUUCAAAUUAGAGAAUUAGGCCUCACCACCUACCCUGAAGGAGAUUAGUUACUGAGCUAAUUUUAAUUUUCCAAAAAAUUAUUCCUUAAACAAUAGCUCCUUGGCAUUGAACUGGAGUCUUUGAAAGUUCUGCCUCUCCUUAGAGCUCGGCUAUGACCUCAUAUUAUUGCAUUGUUAAAUAAUCUCAACAUUUUUGGGUGUAACCGAUUUAGCAAGUUAACGCUUGAUGCCAUUUAUAUAACGUGUUUCUUAGAGGAGCAAGACUGAACAGGGCCGGGAGGUGACAGCAUAGCCAUGGGAUUUAGAUGGCCUGCGUUUAGUCACCCCAACAUUCUCAUGCUCCAGUUAGGCUGUAAUACCUACAAUUUCCUAAACAAGGGGCUUUUUUUUUUUAAUCAAAGAAGGUACCUGCUGUAGAGCCAAACUGUUGAGUGUGAAUAAUUCAAUUAAACUCCAUUUUUCCAAUCGUCAUUCAAUCUACAUCAUUAAGGACCUGUUGUGUGCCAGGCAACACAAAUAACACAGAGUGAACUCACUACCUGGAAGGGAUGGCUUCCACCGGGACAAGGAGAGGUGGGGAUCCAACCAGGGUGACGGAGGUGACUUUAAGUUGCAUGGUUGCUCCAUUGCAGAAGGACUGUUACGCUGUAUUUAUUGAAAGUGGAUUGCACUGGGGCGAAGUUCAGAGCAGCCUGGAGGAGAAAGCUAUGUAGGACAACUGGGCAGAAGGUCACAGGUCCUGAUCUCACCAACUAGUUUAGCCAUGUGUAAUCUUGUAUGUAUGAUCUUGGCCUUUCGGGGCCUUCAUUUCCUUACUAAUGCUAAUAGAGAUGGACUUGGUGGGAAACUCUCCAAAUGUCUUUAAAUUCUAAGUUAGUCAUGUGAUUUGUGCUUUAGGCUUUAAGAACACCCACACUUAUUGAGGUGAAAAAGCUGAGGAAUACCCAGGUUUAUUGAGGCAAAAAGCUGAAAUCACUAGCAAUGUUUUUCUCACUAACACUUACCGUUGGGUUGCUUUCUGACUCUAAAGCUCUUUUCCAUGUAUGUUUCUUUUGAUCCUCAAAGAACAAAACCAAACCUGCAGAGGUGGAAAAAUACCCUGGGCUUUAAAGCAGGUAGUACUAUACUCAGUUUCACAGGGACAGAAAGGCCUAGGGUUUGUUUGGCAGAGCCCUAGGGUGUGACAGUCGCUUAUAAUUGGAUUAAAACAGUUCUCUUUGAGGAUAUUGAGAAAGUGACCUCCAAUUUCCCUUUAGAUGCCAGGUUGCGGGUUGUGAAGUUUUCAGGUCAGGGGAGCAAAGAGAGCACAAAGCAUUCAAGGUCAGACAGGUUCUUCCUUCAGAAUGUGACAUCACUGAAUUUGGGCAUUGCAGCAAAUUUAACACAGCAGGACUCCAGCUCUAUGGGAGCUGAAGUGUCUGUGAACUCUUGAAGCAGUAUACGGGAGCUUGCUCUUUUGUUGUGCACAUCGUUGAAUCACAUCCCAACCUGAAAGACGAAGGUCUGGAAACCAUGGAACUUUACCAGAUGCUGAGUGAGGCCCAGCUUGAGACAAGAGUUUCAUCUUAUUCAAGGUCUACACAUCAUCUCCUUCCUUCCCUACACCUCCUUCCUUCCCUACACCUCCUUCCUUCCCUACACCUCCUUCCUUCCCUACACC